UAGGGAUUCGUAAUCAAAUAUUAAAAUAUACUGAGCUACGUCACUCUCCUAACGCACGCAGGAAAGGAAAGCCCAAAUCUACACAUUCACAGACACUGAUGAAUUUACCGAAUCCUAAAACAAACCCUUAAACCUCCUGACAAGUGUGCGCCUCAGUAAGCCCAAUGUACGCAAACCACAGCUCUUCCACGCUCCUCCAACCCCUAAAAUGCCGAUUCUGCUGAUUCCAUACCCUUCCAACCCUAAACACAGAACUAGAACGCGACGAAGAAGACCCCGGAAUGGCCAAACACCCCGUCGUUUGCCUCCCGUUGCAGAAGCGAUGCCUCUUUGCUCUCCUCAUCAUGCUUUCUAUCUCCACUGUUAUCGCUUUCCUCAUCAAAGCCGCUUUCGAUUCCUGCGAUCGCCGCUUGGAAGUUGCUCAGAAACCGCUUCGCUCCUUCUCCAAUGCUUUGUCAGUCAACACGCCUCCUAAUCCUCUUACUUUCAUGAAGUCUAAGCGCGUUCUCUUGGUCUCGCAUGAGCUUUCUCUGUCAGGUAUUCUUUCUAUACAUAUAUUUAUGUUUGGGGAUUUCAAAGUUUCCUUUUUGAAUUAAAUAAUUUAAACUGGGAAUUGAAUGCUUUUUCAUAUAUGGUUAUGUGAAAUUUGUGAUAAUUUGAGAUUGAACACUUGUGCAGAUUUGUGCUUGUUUGCAGAUGAAUGGAUUGUUAAAGCCUGUAUGUUGUAAUCAGUGGUUUCAGCUAUGCAGGUUGUUCACUGUUGUGUUUAGUUUGAUGCAAGGAAUACAGCAAGUUGUUUUACUACCGCAAUAGGAGCAUCUGUCUAUCUCCUUAUUUUUUUUGUAUAAUUUUGGAAGAAAAAUGAUAACAAUUCAUAGUAUAUUAAUUUUAAUUCAUUGAUGCAAAACAUUAGGAAAUCUGCAAAAUUAGGAAAUGCUUCUGUUUAUUACCAUUUCUUACCAUUUUGUGAACUUUGAUGCUGGUACAUGUUUUUUAAUACACGGAUUAGGGCCACCUUUCUUAAAGGAAAGCAAGACAUUAUCCUAAUUCAGUAAAAUUUUCUAUACUGCAAAUAUUUGUUAUAAAGAUGAACCUGAGUUAGUUGAAUUGUUCAUCCUUUUGAAGCUGUUUAAGCUGAAUAUUGAAUAUUGGUCAUUAUGUGUACUCUGCUGGAGUUAGCUUAUCAGUUUUUGCGUAGCAUUUGGUAGAAUGCACUUUUAAUCUUUCCAAUUAAUUAUGCUAUUUACACCGCCAUGUUUGGGAGGAACCUUCUGAAAUCAUUAAUAGUGUGGCAUGUCCUGUUUGAACAAUUUCAUUUGCCAUUGACACCAUUCUUUUCAUGACAAGUGCUGCGUGAAUAAUUUGACAAGAUUAAAUGUCUAAGACAAAUUUUGCAUGGGUACAGCCAAAAAAAAAAAAAAAAAGUAUGCCUAAACUAUUAGGUGACCUAUAUUUUUACUGGUGGUUAUGAUUGAGAAAAUAGCGAGUGAUUUUCUUAUCUAUAUUCAUGAAAUUUAUUGUUUAGUUAUAAGGAAUUUAUGGUAAUAGAUAUGCGGCUAAAAUAAUAUUGUGAUUUGCAAGAGGAACCUUCCUGAAAAUGGGUCCUCAUAGCACUCGUGAUGCAUUGAAUUUUAUUUGGUCCUCGUCAUUGUGUUUGAAAAAUAAAGCUUAUAAUUUGCAAGUUUUAAUAUCUAGCAUAAUAUUAAUUUUGCCAUCUAUCAAGCUGCUCAUGAAUUUGGUAUUUUUACAAUGUAAUUACAGUUUGAUGUGUGUAUAAAGGUCAACAUGUGAAAUUUCCUCUAUCCAAAGAAUAAACUUGUGCUACCAUGUAUGUACGCGUCUUUCUCCAUUACCGACUCUCUCUUUGCCUCCUCCCCCCAACAUUCUUCCAUCCUCAAAUUCUUCCCCUUCCUCAUAAUUGUUUUCAUACUAAUCCAUUUAACCUUUCCAUGAUGUUUUUGCUAAUUUUCUAUGUAUUUCUUCAGGUGGACCAUUGUUGUUGAUGGAAUUAGCUUUUCUACUAAGAGGUGUUGGUUCUGAAGUUUUUUGGGUCACCAUCCAGAAACCUUCAGAAACUGAUGAGGUGAUAUACAAUUUAGAGCAAAAGAUGCUAGUCCGAGGAGUGCAGGUACUGUUGUUCUAACUCAUCAAAAUUUUCAGUCUGUGUGCAUGUUAAGCAGAGGUUGCUUUUAACUCUAGGACUAGCAUAAGAAAUCUUACAUAACUUUGCAUUCGUUAUCUGUUCUUAAAUAUCUCAAACGAAAGUUCCUUUUAAGUAUGCUAAUUUUUGGCCAAGUGUUUGUGUAGCUAUCUUAAUUGAGCUGACAUAUUAUGUGAUAUUAAUCUGGCAUGCUUGGCUUUAUGUUAACCCCUGUUAAUGAUAAUUUGAGAAAAGGCUCUCAACUUUUUCUAAAGCUUUUGAUUAAGCUGUUAUACGCAUAUAUAGGUCGUGUCUGCAAAAGGCCAAGAAGCUAUAGGUACUGCUCUUAAAGCCGAUAUGGUUGUUUUGAAUACGGCUGUUGCUGGGAAAUGGCUAGAUGCUGUUCUGAAGGAAAACAUUCCUCGUGUUCUCUCAAAAGUGUUAUGGUGGAUUCAUGAAAUGCGAGGGCAUUAUUUCAAACUAGAGUAUGUUAAGCACCUCCCUUUUGUUGCAGGUGCAAUGAUUGAUUCGCAUACAACAGCAGAAUACUGGAAAAACAGGACUAGAGAGCGGUUAGGAAUUAGAAUGCCUGAAACUUAUGUUGUGCAUCUUGGAAAUAGCAAAGACCUCAUGCAAGUGGCUGAAGAUACUGUGGCCAAACGUGUUCUGCGUGAGCAUGUUCGGGAAUCUAUUGGAGUGAGAAAUGAUGAUUUACUGUUUGCCAUCAUAAAUAGCGUUUCACGUGGAAAAGGUCAGGAUCUCUUUCUUCGUUCUUUUUAUGAGAGUCUGCAACUGAUCCAAGAGAAGAAGCUGCAGGUGCCAUCAGUGCAUGCAGUAGUUGUUGGAAGUGACAUGAAUGCUCAGACAAAGUUUGAAACAGAGCUGCGUAAAUUUGUUCAGGAGAAAAAGAUCCAAGACCGUGUUCACUUCAUAAACAAAACCCUGACAGUUGCUCCAUAUUUGGCCUCUAUUGAUGUUCUUGUUCAGAAUUCUCAGGCACGGGGAGAGUGCUUUGGGAGGAUAACCAUUGAAGCAAUGGCCUUUCAACUGCCUGUGUUGGGUACUGCAGCUGGAGGAACCAUGGAGAUUGUAUUGAACGGGACAACAGGCUUGUUGCAUCCUGUUGGGAAGGAAGGUGCAACUCCUCUUGCCAAUAACAUAGUGAAAUUAGCAACACAUGUAGAAAGGAGGCUGACAAUGGGAAAGAAAGGAUAUGAGAGGGUGAAAGAGAAUUUCUUGGAACACCAUAUGUCGCAUAGAAUUGCUCUGGUCCUAAAGGAAGUAUUGCAGAAGGCAAAAUCUUAGCUUGAAUCAGCUAGUUAGCACAUUUUAUCCGUUGAUUUCAUGCAUUUUUUAGUUCCUUGUAUUAUAUGUAUUGGCAAAUUGCAUGGAUAUUUAAAAGUUGAGUUUUCUUGUAGUUCUUCAAAAAGAAUUCUGUAAGUAAGGCC
This 3588-nucleotide unclassified non-coding RNA is filed under the name Hevea brasiliensis (rubber tree). The record is from RNAcentral. Lineage: Eukaryota; Viridiplantae; Streptophyta; Magnoliopsida; Malpighiales; Euphorbiaceae.